ACUCGUAAUUCCCUUCCUCUCAUACGGCGAUUUACGGCAAGAGACCACAGCCUUCACUCGUCGCUUAUUUCCGACAAGAAACAGAACACAACCAUGAUUUGUUGUUCGUUUUGGGGCUAUUAGGGUUCGUCCAGCAAGUCCAGUGAGUUCAAUUGUAAGACGGCGACAACGGUGGCGGCCACGGUUCCUUUGGCCUCCAGUCUCUUCGUAUCAGGCACAUCUCUCUCUUUAGGCGUCAAUUUCAUUUUGUAUGAGCUAAUCUGCAUCAGUUAUUCGUUGUUUAUAUGUAUUCUGUAUCAGUCGUAGCAGUUUAUUCGGCUUAAAUAGUGCAUGGUUUUACAAAUAUAAACGAAUGAAACGCCUUAUAAAUUUGCAUACUGUUGAUUUAUUACACAGAUGAGCUUGCUAUACGAUUCUAGAUACGAAUGAAUUGUUAUGAUUUGGAAAUUGUGUUUCCCAAUUUUUUUUUUAUUUUUAGGUAUUUUUCAGUGAGUUUAGUAUGUAGAUAUGUUUUUUAGGAAUUUGUAUUUAAUUUUUUAGGAACCGGAACUACCCACCGGAACCGGAACUACCCCUCACACUUUUUUUUGUAUUUCCCUUGUAACUGUAAGCUGUUUAUUAACCUCGUACGCUAAGAUUUUGGUUUGGAGAGUUACAAGUUUAUUGUUCAUAAACUUUAACCGGGUGACGAUGAAUCCCAACAUUUGACAUUUGCUUGGUUUAAAAAAGCGAGCUUAAAGCCUGAGGCAAUGAAGCGCUAGGGAUGUCGCUUUUUUUGCUCUGAGGCGACAAAUCAUGUGAAGCGUUUUGAAGCGCGCUUUAAGCCCGAAGCGACGCUUCAGCCCAAUCAGAUGCAGCGUCUAAUAGAACUCUAAGUAUGUUUGGAACGAUAUCUUUCCAAUAAAGGUUAGUAGAAUGCCGCCCCCAUUCAUUGUCGUUCUCGUAUGUUACAUUUUGAACAACACAGAGUUGCUUGGCAAAGGAAUGUGAAGAUGGAGGUUGCUGAUAGCCUGAUACUACUUGGAAGCUAGAUGAAGCUGGAUUUUUGAAGACAGUAGAUCUGUUUUUGUGUAGUGUAUAACUGUAGAUUUUGCUUUUGUAUUGUUUUAUACUUUUAUGUAUGGUUUAAGGCUUAGAGUUCAUGUU
RNAcentral lists this long non-coding RNA (1146 nucleotides) under Helianthus annuus (common sunflower). RNAcentral describes it as "hypothetical non coding rna". The record is from RNAcentral. Lineage: Eukaryota; Viridiplantae; Streptophyta; Magnoliopsida; Asterales; Asteraceae.